AUAUUAUUAUGCGGAGGAAAAGAAACUAACAAAGACUCCCCUAGUAAUGGCGAAUGAACGGGGAACAGUGUUUCACUGCCGGGAACUGUGGUGUUUAGGCAAGCCUUUCCGGCAUUUCGAGGCAGUCAAAAUCCCCUUGAGGGGGCCAUGGCCCAUAGCGGGUACAAGGCCCAUACGACGUCUCUUGUGUCGGUUGGAGAUGCCGUGGUCGGGUUGCUUGAGAGUGCAGCCCAAAGUGGGUGGUAAACCCCAUCUAAGGCUACAUAUAACCACGAGACCGAUAGCGCACAAGUA
This 294-nucleotide ribosomal RNA is filed under the name uncultured eukaryote. Its description in RNAcentral is "partial large subunit ribosomal RNA". It matches the Rfam family "Eukaryotic large subunit ribosomal RNA", at positions 40 to 350 of the family's 3401-position model. The record is from RNAcentral.